UACGGGGGGAGCAAGCGUUGUUCGGAUUUACUGGGCGUAAAGGGCGCGUAGGCGGCCACUGCAAGUCAGUUGUGAAAUCUCCGGGCUUAACUCGGAAAGGUCAACUGAUACUGCAGGGCUAGAGUGCAGAAGGGGCAACUGGAAUUCUCGGUGUAGCGGUGAAAUGCGUAGAUAUCGAGAGGAACACCUGCGGCGAAGGCGGGUUGCUGGGCUGACACUGACGCUGAAGCGCGAAAGCGUGGGGAGCGAACAGG
RNAcentral lists this ribosomal RNA (254 nucleotides) under uncultured bacterium. Its description in RNAcentral is "partial 16S ribosomal RNA". It matches the Rfam family "Bacterial small subunit ribosomal RNA", at positions 524 to 776 of the family's 1533-position model. The record is from RNAcentral.